GAUGAACGCUGACAGAAUGCUUAACACAUGCAAGUCAACUUGAACUUCGGUUUGGGUGGCGGACGGGUGAGUAACGCGUAAAGAACUUGCCUCACAGAUAGGGACAACAUUUGGAAACGAAUGCUAAUACCUGAUAUUAUGAUUUUAGGGCAUCCUAGGAUUAUGAAAGCUAUAUGCGCUGUGAGAGAGCUUUGCGUCCCAUUAGCUAGUUGGAGAGGUAACGGCUCACCAAGGCGAUGAUGGGUAGCCGGCCUGAGAGGGUGAUCGGCCACAAGGGGACUGAGACAAGGCCCUUACUCCUACGGGAGGCAGCAGUGGGGAAUAUUGGAAAAUGGACCAAGAGUCUGAUCCAGCAAUUCUGUGUGCAAGAUGAAGUUUUUCGGAAUGUAAAGUGCUUUCAGUUGGGAAGAAAAAAAUGACGGUACCAACAGAAGAAGUGACGGCUAAAUACGUG
Molecule: ribosomal RNA, 454 nt
Filed under: uncultured bacterium
Lineage: Bacteria
Description: partial 16S ribosomal RNA
Rfam family: Bacterial small subunit ribosomal RNA
Source: RNAcentral